This 688-nucleotide long non-coding RNA is filed under the name Homo sapiens (human). RNAcentral describes it as "HSALNT0232033". Lineage: Eukaryota; Metazoa; Chordata; Mammalia; Primates; Hominidae. The record is from RNAcentral.
AGAAUUUUCUGUCUCAUUUGUCAACUUCACACUGUGAACCCCCAAAAGAGUUGUCUUCAAAAUAAUUGCCCUUGUUGCUUCUCUUUACAGAGUUCUCCCCACAUUAUUAAUGGUAUGGGAAUUAGGAGAAGGUCAUCUGACUCACAUGGAUCACCAUAUAAUUCCUUCUGGAGAACAGAAAAAAUGCAGAAGAGGAAAACCUCCAUAUGUGAAGCUAUGGCAAGGGAGUCUCCCCACCCCGCGCUCCAACAGAGUCUGGAGAUAAACUGGAAAUUGCUUAUAGCCUCUCUCAGAAGGACUUGUCAGCACAAACAAUGCAGAUUGCAAAAUGAGAAAAUCUGAAACAAAAGCACAUGCUCAAAUCUCCCAGGUAAAUAUGCUUCCUAAUGAAAUCUUUUUCUUUGCAGCCUCCUGUACCAAAAUAGUAAACUUUUCCUGUAGUUCUAAACCAUUCUGAAUCUGUGUCAUGUGAAGGCAGGGCAUCUGUGGAAGGAGGGACUCUACAUCAACAUGAUUUCUGGUCCCUGAAGACUACUUCAUGUAUUUACCAUUCAAGCUAUUCAAGGAGUCUGUCAUAAUUGCACUAAGUUCUUUGACCACUGGAGCACAUGAGCUGACUUAUAAAAUGAAGGAAUACCAACACAAAUGAAAGGGUCUGUCAUAAAGACAAGUUACUGAGAGAUGUGUG